GAUGAACGCUGGCGGCGUGCUUAACACAUGCAAGUCGAACGGUGAAGGCGGAGCUUGCUCUGCUGGAUCAGUGGCGAACGGGUGAGUAACACGUGAGCAAUCUGCCCCUGACUCUGGGAUAAGCGCUGGAAACGGCGUCUAAUACUAGAUACGAGCUGCGAAGGCAUCUUCAGCAGCUGGAAAGAAUUUCGGUCAGGGAUGAGCUCGCGGCCUAUCAGCUUGUUGGUGAGGUAAUGGCUCACCAAGGCGUCGACGGGUAGCCGGCCUGAGAGGGUGACCGGCCACACUGGGACUGAGACACGGCCCAGACUCCUACGGGAGGCAGCAGUGGGGAAUAUUGCACAAUGGGCGAAAGCCUGAUGCAGCAACGCCGCGUGAGGGACGACGGCCUUCGGGUUGUAAACCUCUUUUAGCAGGGAAGAAGCGAAAGUGACGGUACCUGCAGAAAAAGCGCCGGCUAACUACGUG
This 468-nucleotide ribosomal RNA is filed under the name uncultured bacterium. RNAcentral's name for it is "partial 16S ribosomal RNA". It matches the Rfam family "Bacterial small subunit ribosomal RNA", at positions 28 to 507 of the family's 1533-position model. The record is from RNAcentral.